CACGUAGGGUGCGAGCGUUGUCCGGAAUUAUUGGGCGUAAAGAGCUCGUAGGCGGUGUGUCGCGUCGGCCGUGAAAACUUGCAGCUUAACUGUGGGCGUGCGGUCGAUACGGGCAUCACUGGAGUUCGGCAGGGGAGACUGGAAUUCCUGGUGUAGCGGUGAAAUGCGCAGAUAUCAGGAGGAACACCGGUGGCGAAGGCGGUUCUCUGGGCCUGUACUGACGCUGAGGAACGAAAGCGUGGGGAGCGAACAGG
RNAcentral lists this ribosomal RNA (254 nucleotides) under uncultured bacterium. Its description in RNAcentral is "partial 16S ribosomal RNA". It matches the Rfam family "Bacterial small subunit ribosomal RNA", at positions 524 to 776 of the family's 1533-position model. The record is from RNAcentral.